RNAcentral lists this long non-coding RNA (1868 nucleotides) under Heterocephalus glaber (naked mole-rat). RNAcentral describes it as "lncRNA (ENSHGLG00100046026.1)". Lineage: Eukaryota; Metazoa; Chordata; Mammalia; Rodentia; Bathyergidae. The record is from RNAcentral.
GAACACGUGACAGAACUCUGGCUUCUGUGGGGUAUAUUCCUGUUGUUUUAUUCCAAAGUUUUAUGUGAACUUCAAUCCUGGUGGAGAUUUAAUAAAAUACCAGUACAUUAAGUUCUUCUAUUCUAACAACCAAAUGUAAGAAAAACUACCAUAGAGGGAUAUAGGACUUUUUUGUAUCUUCCUAGACUUUUAAAGCUAAUUUGAUUUUCAUUAUAAUGAUAUUUUAAUUAACAAUAUGCUAAAAACAAAAUCGACAGAAUUACUUUUUGUCCACACUGUUCAAUUCUCUUAUUGCUAAAAUACUGUAUUACAAAAUGAAUCCAGUGAACAUCUUCAAUUUCAAAAGGCCUGAGAGGUGAAUUCAACUUUUCUUUAAUCUAGGCUGAGGACAGCGAUGGUAACUUUGCAAAUUGAAGCUUUCCAUCCAGGAUAGAAAAAACGAGCAUCCAAAGUAGAGAGAACCACAAAACCACUUCUCUUGUUAUUCGAGCUAGUAGCUACUCAGAGCUUAAAGUUUCCGUCUUCAUUAUUAUUGGCGGUUCCAAAAGUCACAGUUUCGAUGUCAAACGUGACAGUAGAUCCAGAAGUAACUGCAGGCAACUGGUUGGUCAUUUCUUUUCCAUUUACAAAAACUGCACCAUUGGUACUGAUUCACACUGCCUGGUCCCGCUGCAGAGAGCCGCAUCCGCGCUGGUUCUCUGCACACACUCUGAUACUGCCUCUGCGGUCUGGCUGCCCCACAGUUUCAACCCUGAAUGUUAAUGUCUGCGCACAGAAAUAGGUCGGAGCUUUGGAGUAGAGAACACCCGAGGAUUCAGAAUCAUUCCGAAGAGCUAUGUUUCUUUGACUGCUCAGACUGUACUCCUCAAAGCCAGUUGUCCACUCAUGAGGCCCCAGUGUGGAGUGACCUAUCUGGGGGACGCUCCAAGGACUCCACUCCUGUCGCCCGUAUCCUCGAGCGUAGACUCUGAACUGAUAAUCAACAAACAUCGGGGUCUAUGUGUAGUACAAUGAAUUCAGUUUCAGAUCCUACGUAUUGGUCUUCAAAAUGAUUUGAAGUGCAUUUACGGAACUGAAGCCUGUAAUCUUGGGCUGCAAAGUCGUCGUCCACCUUACACCAUCGCACGAUGAUGCCCCCAGGCCUCUCUAUCAGCUCUUCUAUCUGUUCUGGUGAACGGAAUGCUACAGCCACAUGCUUAAAAAUGUGGUCUUUCACUAUGUUCAAAAUGGAAUCAUCCAACUGAGCAGAUAAGCAAGGCGCAUCAACCAGCACAGGCACUUCCGGGUCACAUGAUAGCAUCCUGUGAUGCCUGUGGGGUUAUAAAGCUAUGGGACUUUCGGAAGCUUUUACCAGUUGUGUCCAUUGAUGUAGGUCCAAGUCCUGGCGAUGAGGUGAAUUUUGAUUCAUCAGCCCUCCGUUCAACCCCUGGAGAAAUCCCAGCAAAGAAAACAAAAAGAACAAGAAAUUACUGAGGCAAUAAAGAAAAAAGAAAGCGAGAUUGAAAAGGUACCACAGAAGAAGUCCAUUGAUCCUGCCUUGUCAAUGCUGAUUACAUCUGUAAAAAACCAAAACAGAACAGUUUCAAGCAAGAAAAAAACAAAGAGUCAAAUAAGUGGAUAUUAUUUCUUUUUGCAUUGAUAAUGUAUUCUAAAGCAUACAGAAACAGUAGAGGAGAUACUGGGAAUAAAGUCACCUUUUCACAUAAAAAAAUCUUUUUCUGACCAUAGUAAGAUUCCUUUACAUGUAUACUUGUACUUAAUUGUGGCUGAUUGAUAGAGUUGUACUGUAUAUUUCCACAGAUCUAUCAUAGUUAAAUUACCUGAAUUACAAAAAAAAAAAAGAAGGAAAAAAGAUGUUCAUAGCUGAU